GGGGAUGUAGCUCAGAUGGUAGAGCGCUCGCUUCGCAUGCGAGUGGUAGGGAAAUGAUACCCCGCAUCUCCA
Molecule: transfer RNA, 72 nt
Organism: Ipomoea nil (Japanese morning glory)
Lineage: Eukaryota; Viridiplantae; Streptophyta; Magnoliopsida; Solanales; Convolvulaceae
Rfam family: tRNA
About the family: Transfer RNA (tRNA) molecules are approximately 80 nucleotides in length.
Source: Rfam